This 841-nucleotide long non-coding RNA is filed under the name Nicotiana benthamiana. RNAcentral describes it as "long non-coding RNA (NBEN_LNC022534)". The record is from RNAcentral. Lineage: Eukaryota; Viridiplantae; Streptophyta; Magnoliopsida; Solanales; Solanaceae.
GAGUUUAGGCUCUCCUACAAAGUGUUUGGCAAUGUGGUAGAGCAGAGUGGCACAAGCAUCCUUUCUGGUUUCAGAUUCAGAGGUUUCCAUAUCACUAACUGUUUUAACAGUAGUAAUAAUGGUAGUUGCGUUGAGGAUUUGAAGCUUAAGAUCUUCGGUGACAUAAUUAUCCCACCAAUACCUAAGCUUAUUUGAAAAUUUCAUGAAUCUUUUCCUCCCCAUGUUCUUUCUUUCUCCUCAAACCCACUCCACAUUGUUGUACCUUGCCGGAAUACUCUCAUGAGCAGGAAGAUUUUAAUGGUAAUAAAGUAAAUAGGAACCAACCAACAAAAGAAAAUCUCCUAUGCCCAUUUACCCCUCCCCUUUUAUCAUCCCUAAUGAAGAUUUGAAUGGUAUUAAUCAGAUUUAUAUUGGGAGGUGGUUGCAACUCUAAAUGGAAUACGAGUGUUCAUGUUCUUAAUUUUUGAGUUCAUCCGUCUAGUAGCGCCACAGUCCCGUGAUCCUAUUAAUUUCAUCUCAUUCCAAAACUAUCAUUAAAGCACCAUGUAAGGUUAUAGCCAACCGUCACAACCUAAAAUUGAGCCGCUGCCGAACUCCGCUACCAAAAUAUUAUAUUAGCAACAUCCUCAAACAAAUCGUAAUAGCCAAUAGCCCCAUUUUCUACCAGCGAAAAGCAUCAGUAAUGCAAUUUUCGGUAAAAUUCUAGGGAUGAAGAAAAUAAAGAAAAGAAAAAGAAUAAAAAUAGAAGAACUGAGGUUUGAAAAUUUAGAGUUUGGGCUUGAAAUAUUUUUGAAUUGAGGUUGUCUUCCUUUAAAUCAGAUCCGAGUUUUGAGAAAGUAGG